AUACGGAGGGUGCAUGCGUUACUCGGAAUCACUGGGCGUAAAGCGCGCGCAGGCGGCUAUUUAAGUUGGAUGUGAAAGCCUACGGCUCAACCGUAGAACUGCAUCCAAAACUAUUUAGCUAGAGUGUGGGAGAGGAAGAUGGAAUUAGUCGUGUAGGGGUAAAAUCCGUAGAGAUAACUAGGAAUACCAAAAGCGAAGGCAAUCUUCUGGAACACUACUGACGCUGAGGCGCGAAAGCGUGGGGAGCAAACAGGAUUAGAUACCCUAGUAGUCC
RNAcentral lists this ribosomal RNA (274 nucleotides) under uncultured bacterium. RNAcentral describes it as "partial 16S ribosomal RNA". It matches the Rfam family "Bacterial small subunit ribosomal RNA", at positions 523 to 796 of the family's 1533-position model. The record is from RNAcentral.